This 1657-nucleotide ribosomal RNA is filed under the name Campylobacter coli. RNAcentral describes it as "partial 23S ribosomal RNA". It matches the Rfam family "Bacterial large subunit ribosomal RNA", at positions 1286 to 2925 of the family's 2925-position model. Lineage: Bacteria; Pseudomonadati; Campylobacterota; Epsilonproteobacteria; Campylobacterales; Campylobacteraceae. The record is from RNAcentral.
AAGUGAGCAUGCAGGCAUGAGUAGCGAUAAUUAAUGUGAGAAUCAUUAACGCCGUAAACCCAAGGUUUCCUACGCGAUGCUCGUCAUCGUAGGGUUAGUCGGGUCCUAAGUCGAGUCCGAAAGGGGUAGACGAUGGCAAAUUGGUUAAUAUUCCAAUACCAACAUUAGUGUGCGAUGGAAGGACGCUUAGGGCUAAGGGGGCUAGCGGAUGGAAGUGCUAGUCUAAGGUCGUAGGAGGUUGUACAGGCAAAUCCGUAUAACAAUACUCCGAGAACUGAAAGGCUUUUUGAAGUCUUCGGAUGGAUAGAAGAACCCCUGAUGCCGUCGAGCCAAGAAAAGUUUCUAAGUUUAGCUAAUGUUGCCCGUACCGUAAACCGACACAGGUGGGUGGGAUGAGUAUUCUAAGGCGCGUGGAAGAACUCUCUUUAAGGAACUCUGCAAAAUAGCACCGUAUCUUCGGUAUAAGGUGUGGUUAGCUUUGUAUUAGGAUUUACUCCGAAAGCAAGGAAACUUACAACAAAGAGUCCCUCCCGACUGUUUACCAAAAACACAGCACUCUGCUAACUCGUAAGAGGAUGUAUAGGGUGUGACGCCUGCCCGGUGCUCGAAGGUUAAUUGAUGGGGUUAGCAUUAGCGAAGCUCUUGAUCGAAGCCCGAGUAAACGGCGGCCGUAACUAUAACGGUCCUAAGGUAGCGAAAUUCCUUGUCGGUUAAAUACCGACCUGCAUGAAUGGCGUAACGAGAUGGGAGCUGUCUCAAAGAGGGAUCCAGUGAAAUUGUAGUGGAGGUGAAAAUUCCUCCUACCCGCGGCAAGACGGAAAGACCCCGUGGACCUUUACUACAGCUUGACACUGCUACUUGGAUAAGAAUGUGCAGGAUAGGUGGGAGGCUUUGAGUAUAUGACGCCAGUUGUAUAUGAGCCAUUGUUGAGAUACCACUCUUUCUUAUUUGGGUAGCUAACCAGCUUGAGUUAUCCUCAAGUGGGACAAUGUCUGGUGGGUAGUUUGACUGGGGCGGUCGCCUCCCAAAUAAUAACGGAGGCUUACAAAGGUUGGCUCAGAACGGUUGGAAAUCGUUCGUAGAGUAUAAAGGUAUAAGCCAGCUUAACUGCAAGACAUACAAGUCAAGCAGAGACGAAAGUCGGUCUUAGUGAUCCGGUGGUUCUGUGUGGAAGGGCCAUCGCUCAAAGGAUAAAAGGUACCCCGGGGAUAACAGGCUGAUCUCCCCCAAGAGCUCACAUCGACGGGGAGGUUUGGCACCUCGAUGUCGGCUCAUCGCAUCCUGGGGCUGGAGCAGGUCCCAAGGGUAUGGCUGUUCGCCAUUUAAAGCGGUACGCGAGCUGGGUUCAGAACGUCGUGAGACAGUUCGGUCCCUAUCUGCCGUGGGCGUAAGAAGAUUGAAGAGAUUUGACCCUAGUACGAGAGGACCGGGUUGAACAAACCACUGGUGUAGCUGUUGUUCUGCCAAGAGCAUCGCAGCGUAGCUAAGUUUGGAAAGGAUAAACGCUGAAAGCAUCUAAGCGUGAAGCCAACUCUAAGAUGAAUCUUCUCUAAGCUCUCUAGAAGACUACUAGUUUGAUAGGCUGGGUGUGUAAUGGAUGAAAGUCCUUUAGCUGACCAGUACUAAUAGAGCGUUUGGCUUAUCUUUAAUAAAGCAU